Long non-coding RNA from Lepidothrix coronata (blue-crowned manakin), 1537 nucleotides. RefSeq lists it as uncharacterized. The transcript is spliced from 3 exons. NCBI's taxonomy places the organism in Eukaryota, Metazoa, Chordata, Aves, Passeriformes, Pipridae. The record is from RefSeq and is a predicted model, not a curated record.
UUUGGAUUUGGCUUGCUUGAUGCUGGACGAUUAAUGAAGGAAGCCCUAACUGGACAAAGAAAAGGAUUGACAAUAAGAUGUGGAUGUUCAUCUUUAAUGAACUCUAGUCACCAAGUGAAAAUCAGCUAAUUUUGAUGAUGCAACUGACCACCUUCUCAGCAAUAGGUGAAUAUUUACUCCUUCACAAAAUGAGCAAACCUAUUAACUGUGAACAUGGAAAGAUGAAGCAAGCAAAAAACAAAGAGAAGUGUGAAGAGUUUCGCUGCUGUAUCAUCUGUGACACUGUAUCAGCUCCUAGUUUUAGGAUCAUGAGUAAAUAGGUAUAUAAGAGAUACGCUGUUAUUCUACAAAGAAGGGUUAUUUCAAAGAAAUAAAGGAAAAAAAUUAAAAGGGCUGUCAGUAUAUUCUCAGGUACUAUAUGAUGACAAUGUUAGAGAGGGAGCUUCAUUUGGUGUUCUUCUAGUUUUGAAUCUAUACAGGGGAACAGUACUACAGAGAGAUCUAGAUAAUAAUGUCCUUGAUCUUGUCAAGUAUUGCCGUAGGACUAGUAUUGUUACUUUCUUGUUGAAUUUACUCAUGUGAGAGGAACCACUCUGUUAUAUAAGUUAAAGGUUCACAUUCUGUCGUUCAUUUUUUCACUUUACAUUAUUGUUAAAAUAGAGAAAAAAAGGGACUAAAGGAGGCAGGAAGAGAAGCAAAAAUAGAGGUGAAUUAAUAGCAAAAAUCAAAUAUUAAAUAUUUUCUUUAACUGCAGUCAGAGAUGGGGAUUAUAUUUGACCAAACAACCAAAUCCUCCACCACAAGCUAGGACUUCACUUUUUAUUUCAAUACUCUUGAUAGAAUGGACCCAAUCAUUUAUUCUGUGUGUGCUAAAAGUGUACUACCAACACUAGUAGACCAAGCAGAUAGUUUUGUUUUAUUGUCUGAAUAGUGUAAUAUUUUACUGCAAAUAUAAAUAGUGUAGUCAUUUGCCUGAUCCAAGUUCCCAAUGUACUUUAUAAUAAACCAAGUAAUUUUGAGAGAAAUAUGUUGACCAACCCUAGCCUAACACUAUUCACAUAGUUCAAUACUGAAACCAAUUCCAGCCAUUAAAAAGUGAAUGGUAUUGCAUUUACUUUUACAAGUUGAAGGAUAAAGACGGAAAUGCAAGAGAUGGAGCAAUAAGAACCAUGUGGUCCCUGCUCUUUAAGGGUCUCAUCCAGAGCCUGUUAAGGUAAUGAGCAUAUUCUUUUUGAUUUUAACAGACUUUACAUAAGUCAAAAAUUAUUGAAAAUUAAGAACAGGAAAAAGAAUCACUCUGUUUACAUUUGUUAGGUUAUAUCCAUAAUAAACUUGUAAAAAAUGAAAACAGAAGAAAAUAUUAAAGCAGAUCCAAAUAUUACAUUUAUUCUAGAAUUCAAGAUUACUUCAUUUUCUGCUCCAGUAUAAGUGCACAAUGUCACAAACAUCAGAUUUUUCCAAAGCCUUUACUGAAAACAUUUCCCAUCAUGGAAUACUUCACCUUGCUUUCUUCUUACAGCUGUUCCUUCUAGAAAAA